UUGAUUACUUCUUUAUAUUCAAAUAGCGAGGUAUUUUUGGUUUGAAAUUCUGAUAAUUUAUGUCGUAAAAACGAUUAUACCAUGACCUCUUCACACAAAAUUGACGAAAUGGGGCUUCAUUCAGGAUCAGUUUACUGCUGCUACUUACAUAAUUUUGUCUUUUAAAAAAUACGUAAGGAACGCAGAUGUAAUAUUUUCAAAAGCACCAGAGAAAUAUUAAUGAAUAUGUUAUGAAUAAUCUCAGAAAAAAAUAAAAACGAAUUGUCUAAAAUUCGCAUAUUUUUUCUGAUAAGCAUGAGUCUUAACGUGUGGUAAUAAGGGUUAUUUUAUUUUGUCAGUCUGAACGCUUGGCAUAGAAAUGUUUAUCGAUACAAUGCCAGUCCGCGCUCGGCCGCCGUCGUGAGUGGAUACUGUGUCGGUUGUAAGCAGCAGCUCGUGCUCGGAAAGAUCGCUGUACGAACAUAAAUACUUUUUAUUAGCUCCGCAAUACUGUCUUUGAUACUUUACGUAUUUUGUACGCAGUGGCAACUUGACAAGAUGCCAAAGCCGAAAACCUUUGGGAAAUGCUCUCGUAAAAGUCUGCGCGCAAAUAGACUUAACUUAAAAAAGAGAGCACAAACAAUGAAGAAACCGAACCGUUCCAAGUUUCAGGAAGAAGGGUCAUAGAAUUAGGCUAUUUUAUGAAACAGCUUCAAGAAAUCGAAAGCCAUAGUUCUAUGUUUAAUUGCAAUUUAAGCACUGUUGAACUUUUAAAGGAAAAAAGGACUGGGCUUAUCUCAACUUUUUAUUUGAAGUGCCAAAUGUGUGGCUCUAAAUUUGUAUUGAAAUCGUCUAAUUGUUUGGAAAACAAAAUGGAUGUGAAUGAGGAAAUUGUUGCAGGUAUAAUGAGUAUUGGUGCCGGAGUUACUCAGCUAAAUACAGUUCUUUGCUAUAUAAAUAUACCACCUAUGUCGAUACGAUUGUAUCAAACUAAACAUGACAUUUGUCAAUGGUGGAAAAAAACUGCCCAGCACUGUAUGGCUAAGGCUGGCGAGGAAGAAAAAAGACAUGCUCUUUGUAUUGGAAACAUUAAUGAUACCGGAAUACCAAUGAUCGCUGUAUUGGGUGAUGCUUGUUGGUCCAAACGUUCAUAUGGAUCUAACUACAGUCCGUCGUCUGGAGUUGGUGCAAUUGUCGGAGUUCAUUCAAAGAAAGUUCUCUACUACGGAGUGAAAAAUAAGAUGUGCAACAUCUGUUCACGAGCUAUUGCGAAAGGAACUAAAGCACCAAUACAUAAUUGCUUAAAAAAUUUUCAAGGUCCUUCUACUGCAAUGGAAGCAGGUAUUAUAACAGAAGGGUUCAAAAAAUCAAUUGAAAGUCAUGGACUCAUUUACAACCAGUACGUCGCAGAUGGUGAUUCCAGUACAUAUACUAGUAUUCGAAAUGCAAGGCCAUAUGAUAAUGUUACAGUAGGUAAAAUUGAAUGCAAGAAUCAUUUGCUUAGAAACUACUGCAAGGGCCUUCUUACGAUAGCAAAUAACACUACUUACCA
Molecule: long non-coding RNA, 1531 nt
Organism: Leptidea sinapis
Lineage: Eukaryota; Metazoa; Arthropoda; Insecta; Lepidoptera; Pieridae
Exons: 3
Source: RefSeq, a predicted model, not a curated record